UUCAAUACCAAACUUAUUCCUCUCUCACUCCCGAAUCCGGUGGCGAAGCGUCCUCUAAGGGGAAGGAGCUCGCCGAUCACUGAGUGCGUCUCAGGACGAGACGACUGGUUCUGUUUUAGUGGUUUUGGUCGUCAUAGCGAGGCGAAGU
Dioscorea cayenensis subsp. rotundata (Guinea yam) is the source of this 148-nucleotide long non-coding RNA. RefSeq lists it as uncharacterized. The transcript is spliced from 3 exons. The record is from RefSeq and is a predicted model, not a curated record. Lineage: Eukaryota; Viridiplantae; Streptophyta; Magnoliopsida; Dioscoreales; Dioscoreaceae.